GGGAAAUGUAAUGAAUUUGGUAUUGGACAGCUGGAUUUGAAAUGUCUCUGGAAAGAAUUGUCAGAGAUAUUGUGUAGCAUUUGCAUAUAAGAAAAUGAAUAAUUUCUGAAUUCCUGUUGUAGGAGGUGAAAACGGAAAACACAAAGUGAUGGAGGCUUUCCAGCAAGCGGGUAUGGCGUGGAAGCCUGGGGCACACCAACCCAUGAGGCUAGUCAAAGGAAGUGAAGAAGGGAAGACCGCAACAAGGGCAGGAGACAGGAGUCACAAGUACAUUUCCUGGAAUCCAAGGCCUACGUUGGAAUUCCUCAGGAGGUUUAUCUCAAAGCCGUACCAACAUAGUCAAGAGGACAGUGAAAUCUGCUGAGACUGGAAAGGCAAUUGGCUGUCUCCAGAGCUCCAUGUGAUUACUAGAAUGGCCAUGUCAUUGAGGGGGAAGGAGAAAUGUGCUGCUCCUUGGAGUUCCAUAACAGAGCCAAGCUGAGGCCUCUGCUAGUUACUUGUCAUGUGAUCCUGGAGAAACGCCUUACAUUUUUUUAUGUCUCAGUUUCUUGAUCUGUGCAAUAACCGUAUGUCCCAUAUAUCCAAAAUUAAAAAAUAAUAAAAAUGCCCAUCAGAGCUUCUUAUAUCAUGGGACAACCUACACUACCCACUGUACUGGUGCUUGGGACACCCGGAGCAAAGGAACUUGGCCUUGUCUGUAUUGUUGGGCUUCUG
Molecule: long non-coding RNA, 714 nt
Filed under: Pan troglodytes (chimpanzee)
Lineage: Eukaryota; Metazoa; Chordata; Mammalia; Primates; Hominidae
Description: lncRNA (ENSPTRG00000052990.1)
Source: RNAcentral